This 234-nucleotide ribosomal RNA is filed under the name uncultured bacterium. RNAcentral describes it as "partial 16S ribosomal RNA". It matches the Rfam family "Bacterial small subunit ribosomal RNA", at positions 543 to 776 of the family's 1533-position model. The record is from RNAcentral.
GUUCGGAAUCACUGGGCUUAAAGGGCGCGUAGGCGGUUCCGUCAGUCCGGGGUGAAAGCCCCCAGCUCAACUGGGGAAGGGCCUCGGAAACUGUGGCACUGGAGGAAGGUAGGGGUCGCGGGAACUUCUGGUGGAGCGGUGAAAUGCGUAGAUAUCGUUUGGAACGCCAAUGGUGAAAACAGGUAACUGGGAGUGCGCUGACGCUGAGACACGAAAGCCAGGGGAGCGAACGGG